Molecule: ribosomal RNA, 122 nt
Organism: Cricetulus griseus (Chinese hamster)
Lineage: Eukaryota; Metazoa; Chordata; Mammalia; Rodentia; Cricetidae
Source: Ensembl
AUCUACAGUCAUACCACUCAGAACACACCUAAUCUCAUCUAUUCUUAGAAGAUAAGCAGGAUGGGGUCUGGUUAGUACUCAAAUAGGAAAAACAAACAAACACCUCUCCAUGCCUGUAGGUU